UGGGGAAUAUUGCACAAUGGGCGAAAGCCUGAUGCAGCGACGCCGCGUGGGGGAUGACGGCCUUCGGGUUGUAAACCUCUUUCAGCAAGGAAGAAGCGAAAGUGACGGUACUUGCAGAAGAAGCGCCGGCUCACUACGUGCAAGCAGCCGCGGAAAUACGUCGGGCGCAAGCGUUGUCCGGAAUUAUUGGGCGUAAAGGGCUUGUAGGUGGCUUGUCGCGUCUGCCGUGAAAACUCGAGGCUUAACCGUGGGUGUGCGGUGGGUACGGGCAGGCUAGAGUGCGGUAGGGGAGAGUGGAAUUCCUGGUGUAGCGGUGAAAUGCGCAGAUAUCAGGAGGAACACCAGUGGCGAAGGCGGGUCUCGGGGCGGUUACUGACGCUGAGAAGCGAAAGCAGGGGGAGCAAACAGG
RNAcentral lists this ribosomal RNA (409 nucleotides) under Actinomycetes bacterium. Its description in RNAcentral is "Actinobacteria bacterium partial 16S ribosomal RNA". It matches the Rfam family "Bacterial small subunit ribosomal RNA", at positions 355 to 776 of the family's 1533-position model. Lineage: Bacteria; Bacillati; Actinomycetota; Actinomycetes. The record is from RNAcentral.